Molecule: long non-coding RNA, 512 nt
Filed under: Lathyrus oleraceus (garden pea)
Lineage: Eukaryota; Viridiplantae; Streptophyta; Magnoliopsida; Fabales; Fabaceae
Description: Pisum sativum (pea) long non-coding RNA (PSAT_LNC003139)
Source: RNAcentral
GAAACUUAGGCUUUCUACAAAUGUCAUGUCAUUUAUUCUUUUGUAAUACUUGUUCAAAAUUGAAUCACUUUAGAUCAUAGCCAAAUAUGAUGAGCUUUUCCAUUGUUCAGUAUAUGCACAGGAUACCAACAAUUCUUGUUUUAACUCAUUUGAAUCAUGUUUAAUCUUGCAUUUGUGUUUACUUGUAUGAAAGCACUAAAAUGAUCAAGGCAUUUUGUUUGGUUUUGAGCACACCACCUGGCCCAAAAGUAGCCUACCUUGUGAGUGAGUGAGAAUUUGCUUACCCCUUUGAGCCAUGUGUCAAGAUCCAUUUUGAUGUUAACCUGUGAAACUUGUACAUAACUAAUUAGUUCAUUAUUGAUUUUAGAUUGGAUUUUGAACUUUUUUCUUGAACCCUCAAUCAUAAAUUGUGAUUUGAAUUUUUACCCUUGCCUUAAAAAGUUUGGGAGCAUUAAUAUUACAAUGAUUGGUUGCGUUCAAGUUUGGGAGAAACGGUUGGUACUAAGAGGUCG